This 72-nucleotide transfer RNA is filed under the name Marmota marmota marmota (Alpine marmot). It matches the Rfam family "tRNA". From Rfam's summary of the family: Transfer RNA (tRNA) molecules are approximately 80 nucleotides in length. Their secondary structure includes four short double-helical elements and three loops (D, anti-codon, and T loops). RNAcentral also lists the same sequence under 1 other name. Lineage: Eukaryota; Metazoa; Chordata; Mammalia; Rodentia; Sciuridae. The record is from Rfam by way of RNAcentral.
GGGGUUGUAUCUCAGUGACAGAACACUUGCCUAGCAUGUAUGAGGCACUGGGUUCAAUCCUCAGCAACACCA